GGUUAACUGUCAAAUAUACAAAAAUCGAGUAAAUGAAAAAAAAAUUAGUAAUAGGGGCUAGUGCAACUAACUAGCAAAACCGAAAGGUGAUGUCAUAGACAUUUUAAUAAAAAUAUUUAUAAUUUUUUCUUUUUUUUUUAUUAUUAACUUUACCUAAAAUUUUAUUAUAAGACUAAUUACAACGGAUGCUACAAGUGAACUUGCGAAUUCGUUAAUAAAAAGCGCAAGCACAAACGAUUACGUUUUAACGUAUUUAUGUAUAUACACAUAUAUUAUUACUGCUAUUGGUACGUAUACUUAGUAACAGUAAUACUAACAAGUAUCGUUAUUAUUUUUAAAAGCACUUACAGAGUUAUUUUAUUCAAUAUAGACGUAUGCGCACAUGCAUAUGCAAAUGUUAAUACACACAUAUAUAUAUAUAUAUGUGUACCAAAUUUUGUAUUAAAUAUUUUUUUUUAACUUAAAAAUCUUAAACAGAUGACACCGUAAAGACGACAGUAUGGAUAACAAAACGAGCGACGUACUCACUUUUGAAAACAGCAUUCAGAACACGGAAGAAUACAUUGAGGAGGGGGAUGUCGUUUUUGAAAGUGAAGAAUUAAAAAAAAAAAGAGAAGAGAUAAAGAAUGAUAAAAUAUUUAUUGACUGUGUUAAGAACAUUUGGAUGAAUAUAUUAAAUAAAAAAAUGGACGAACAAUUUAGUAAAAUAGAAUAUUUUAAAAUAAUGUUAAGGAUAUGUAAAGUGUUAAUACCUCAGUUCGAAAUUAAAAAAGUAAUAAAUAUAGUUAGUGACGAAUGGGAUAAUGAUAGUAAAGGUAAAAGGUCUUUAGAUUUUAAUAGCUUUCUUAACGCAUUUUUCGAAUUAGCAGAUAUAUGGACACCUACUAUCAAUGCAUAUGACUAUGCACAUUUUUUGAAAUCUUUAUUUUAUAGAAUUAUAUUUAUUGAAGUAACAACAGAAAAUGGAGAAGUUAUAAAAAAAAAACCAGUUUUUUUCAUAAAUUUUAAACGAAAUGUAAAAGGUAAAAAAAAGUUAUCAUUACUUAAUGAUUCAGUAGACAUAUCACCAUCAAAUAAACCAGAUGAUAGUCAAACAAGUGGUGAUAAAUUUAUUGGAUCUGAUAAAGAUAACUUUUUAAAUAAAAUAAAAUCAAUAAAAAAGUUAUCAGUUCAACUUAAGCAAUUAAAAAAACAAUUUUCAAAAAGAUUAAGUGUCAUGCAAAAUAAAAAUGAUUCAUUUUUAUAUGUUGAUGGUAAUGAUAAAAGGUAUCAAAAUGAUUUAGGUCGCUAUGAUGGAAAUAUUUUUGAAAAUAUAUUAAAUAACAAUGAGCAAAAUACAAAUAUAAAAAAUAACGUUAUAUUACUAGAUGUAGAAGAAAUCAAUCCUAUGGAGUAUGAUAACAUUAUUCAUGACAUUGAUAAGGGAGACGACGAUUAUAAAAGUGACAAGCAAAUAGGGUUAGUCGAUGUGUCGAGGUCGAUAGUAGAAACGGACAAAAAUGCCGAAAUGACAUCAACAAACGAAAAUGAAAGGACGGGCGCAUAUGAAGUAAAAAACAAAACCAGUGAAGCUGAAACUGAUGAAACCAAAUUAAAAAAUCAAAACGAUGAAUGGAUUGUUGAUAAAGAAUUUAAACUAGCUAAAAAAAAAGAGAAAAAUGAAGAUGAGUCUAAAGUAGGGACAGUUAUAAAAACUGUAAAGGAAGUAAAAAAAGAAGAUCAAGAGGAAGAAGAAACAGAUAAAAAUAAUGAAAAAAAGGAAUAUAAAAAAAUAGAGAAAAUAGAGAAAAUAGAGAAAAUAGAGAAAAUAGAGAAAAUAGAGAAAAUAGAGAAAAUAGAGAAAAUAGAGAAAACAGAGAAAAUAGAGAAAACAGAGAAAAUAGAGAAAACAGAGAGAAAAGAAAAAAAAGAGUCAGUCAUCUUAAUCGAUGGUAUAAAUUUUAACGAUAUAACAAAAGAGUGCAAAAUCGAAAAUGGUUAUGAUGCAGUAGGAGUAACUGCAGAUAGUGAGAAACUCAUAUCAAGC
RNAcentral lists this long non-coding RNA (2026 nucleotides) under Piliocolobus tephrosceles (Ugandan red Colobus). Its description in RNAcentral is "lncRNA (ENSPTEG00000016117.1)". The record is from RNAcentral. Lineage: Eukaryota; Metazoa; Chordata; Mammalia; Primates; Cercopithecidae.